GGCUUAGAGUUUGAUCAUGGCUCAGGAUAAACGCUGGCGGCGCACAUAAGACAUGCAAGUCGAACGGAAGUUGUUAUAAAUGAAUUGAAGAUUUAUCUGAUUGAAAUUUAUAACAAUGGCUUUAGUGGCGGACUGGUGAGUAACGCGUAAGGAAUCUACCUAUUAGAGGGGAAUAACAAUGAGAAAUCAUUGCUAAUACCGCAUAUGCCAUAGUGAAGGCAUCUUCAUAGUGGGAAAGGAGCAAUUCGCUAAUAGAUGAUCUUGCGUCUGAUUAGUUAGUUGGUGGGGUAACGGCCUACCAAGACGACGAUCAGUAGCCGGACUGAGAGGUUGAACGGCCACAUUGGGACUGAGAUACGGCCCAGACUCCUACGGGAGGCAGCAGUCGGGAAUAUUGCGCAAUGGAGGAAACUCUGACGCAGUGACGCCGCGUAUAGGAAGAAGGUUUUCGGAUUGUAAACUAUUGUCGUUAGGGAAGAAAAAAGACAGUACCUAAGGAGGAAGCUCCGGCUAACUACGUGCCAGCAGCCGCGGUAAUACGUAGGGAGCAAGCGUUAUCCGGAUUUAUUGGGUGUAAAGGGUGCGUAGACGGGUAAUCAAGUUAGUUGUGAAAUCCCUUGGCUUAACUGAGGAACUGCAACUAAAACUGAUUAUCUUGAGUACAGGAGAGGUAAGUGGAAUUCCUAGUGUAGCGGUGAAAUGCGUAGAUAUUAGGAGGAACACCAGUGGCGAAGGCGACUUACUGGACUGAAACUGACGUUGAGGCACGAAAGUGUGGGGAGCAAACAGGAUUAGAUACCCUGGUAGUCCACACUNGUAACGAUGGAUACUAGGUGUAGGAAAUAUUAAGUUUUCUGUGCCCGUCGCAACGCAGUAG
This 877-nucleotide ribosomal RNA is filed under the name uncultured bacterium. RNAcentral describes it as "bacterial SSU rRNA". It matches the Rfam family "Bacterial small subunit ribosomal RNA", at positions 1 to 863 of the family's 1533-position model. The record is from RNAcentral.